UGCGUAGGCGGUCCCGCAAGUCCGUUGUGAAAGCCCCGGGCUUAACCUGGGAAUGGCAGUGGAAACUAGGGGACUUGAAUCUGGCAGAGGGGGGUGGAAUGCCACGUGUAGCAGUGAAAUGCGUAGAGAUGUGGCGGAACACCGAUGGCGAAGGCAGCCCCCUGGGCUGAGAUUGACGCUCAGGCACGAAAGCGUGGGGAGCAAACAGGAUUAGAUACCCUGGUAGUCCACGCCCUAAACGAUGAUCACUAGGUGUUGGGGAAGCGAUUUCUCAGUACCGCAGCUAACGCGUGAAGUGAUCCGCCUGGGGAGUACGGUCGCAAGAUUAAA
This 330-nucleotide ribosomal RNA is filed under the name uncultured bacterium. RNAcentral's name for it is "bacterial SSU rRNA". It matches the Rfam family "Bacterial small subunit ribosomal RNA", at positions 568 to 898 of the family's 1533-position model. The record is from RNAcentral.